AUUGAACGCUGGCGGCAGGCCUAACACAUGCAAGUCGAGCGAUCGGCGGACGGGUGAGUAAUGUCUGGGAAACUGCCUGAUGGAGGGGGAUAACGACUGGAAAAGGUAGCUAAUACCGCAUACCAUCAGAUGUGCCCAGAUGGGGUUAGCUAGUAGGUGGGGUAACGGCUCACCUAGGCGACGAUCCCUAGCUGGUCUGAGAGGAUGACCAGCCACACGGGAACUGAGACACGGUCCAGACUCCUACGGGAGGCAGCAGUGGGGAAUAUUGCACAAUGGGCGCAAGCCUGAUGCAGCCAUGCCGCGUGUGUGAAGAAGGCCUUCGGGUUGUAAAGCACUUUCAGCGGGGAGGCGUUACCCGCAGAAGAAGCACCGGCUAACUCCGUGCCAGCAGCCGCGGUAAUUC
This 406-nucleotide ribosomal RNA is filed under the name uncultured bacterium. Its description in RNAcentral is "partial 16S ribosomal RNA". It matches the Rfam family "Bacterial small subunit ribosomal RNA", at positions 30 to 526 of the family's 1533-position model. The record is from RNAcentral.